GUUGUAUCUCAGCGGUAGAGCAUUUGCCUAGCAUGUCUGAGGCACUGAGUUCAAUUCUCAGCAUUACA
RNAcentral lists this transfer RNA (68 nucleotides) under Marmota monax (woodchuck). Its description in RNAcentral is "tRNA.Ala". Lineage: Eukaryota; Metazoa; Chordata; Mammalia; Rodentia; Sciuridae. The record is from RNAcentral.